RNAcentral lists this ribosomal RNA (749 nucleotides) under uncultured bacterium. Its description in RNAcentral is "bacterial SSU rRNA". It matches the Rfam family "Bacterial small subunit ribosomal RNA", at positions 28 to 772 of the family's 1533-position model. The record is from RNAcentral.
AUUGAACGCUGGCGGCAGGCCUAACACAUGCAAGUCGAGCGGAUGACGGGAGCUUGCUCCUUGAUUCAGCGGCGGACGGGUGAGUAAUGCCUAGGAAUCUGCCUGGUAGUGGGGGACAACGUUUCGAAAGGAACGCUAAUACCGCAUACGUCCUACGGGAGAAAGCAGGGGACCUUCGGGCCUUGCGCUAUCAGAUGAGCCUAGGUCGGAUUAGCUAGUUGGUGGGGUAAUGGCUCACCAAGGCGACGAUCCGUAACUGGUCUGAGAGGAUGAUCAGUCACACUGGAACUGAGACACGGUCCAGACUCCUACGGGAGGCAGCAGUGGGGAAUAUUGGACAAUGGGCGAAAGCCUGAUCCAGCCAUGCCGCGUGUGUGAAGAAGGUCUUCGGAUUGUAAAGCACUUUAAGUUGGGAGGAAGGGCAGUAAGCUAAUACCUUGCUGUUUUGACGUUACCGACAGAAUAAGCACUGGCUAACUCUGUGCCAGCAGCCGCGGUAAUACAGAGGGUGCAAGCGUUAAUCGGAAUUACUGGGCGUAAAGCGCGCGUAGGUGGUUUGUUAAGUUGGAUGUGAAAGCCCCGGGCUCAACCUGGGAACUGCAUCCAAAACUGGCAAGCUAGAGUACGGUAGAGGGUGGUGGAAUUUCCUGUGUAGCGGUGAAAUGCGUAGAUAUAGGAAGGAACACCAGUGGCGAAGGCGACCACCUGGACUGAUACUGACACUGAGGUGCGAAAGCGUGGGGAGCAAA